UUUUAAAAAAUGCUUUAUUUUUGGUAAGCCUAGAGGGAUUCCCUAGUACAAAAGCCAGCACCCUUAUAGGGCUCUGUGUCCUCUGUCCCCUCUUCCUGGUUAUGUUACACAACCACAAGGAAGCCACAGAGGGAGCACACCCAGAACACACACACCCCCAGGGCCCUUGUAGUCUUUUCCUCUGCUUGGACAGUGUGAAAGGCACCUCACUUAAUAGUGUACACUCAUUUUCAUAGUCCAUCCAUUUUCCUGCAAAAUUUUAACUUCAUGUGGAAUGCUUAGGCUUAAGAUGUAUGCUAUUAAGUAAGUGAAGUCACACAACCUCACAAAAAAAUAAAUUAAAUGUUCUCUCUCAUAUGCAGACCCUAGCCAAUGAUCCAUGUAUGUGUGAACACAUAUACAUGUGGCUACAUUAUACCAUGAAGAAAGGAGAAGGAAAAAGGCUAAAUGUAAGGGGCAGGAAAGAACUGGAUAUAGAAUACCAGUUGUUAAAGGAGGAUAUAGAACUAAUUGUUUUCCUAAUUCUACCAUUAAUUUUUUAGUUAUUUGGUGGCAGAUAAGUACAUAAAAUAUAUUAGAUACUGAAAGUGUAAAAUCUAAUGUACAACUUCACAGCUCCAUUCUGAAUGCCCAUGCUAACAAUAUAGAAGGGUAUUACUCAAUUGAAUAGACCUUGGUUUAGCUAAUUUUAGUGUGUGAUGUUUUUAUUUAUUUGCAAGGUUGGGUUUUUGUUUUUAAGAUUUAUUUAUUUUGUUUAUAUGAGUAGCUGUCUUCAGACACACCAGAGGUUGACAUCAGAUCCAAUUACAGAUGGUCAUGAGCCACCAUGUGGUUGCUGGGAAUUGAACUCAGGACCUCUGGAAAAGCAGUCAGUGCUCUUAACCAUUGAGCCAUCUCUCCAGCCCCCUCAAGGUUCUUUUUUGUUUGUUUGUUUUUUAAUAAUAAAGUUUAUUUAUUUAUUUGUUUGGUUUUUGUUUGUUUGUUUUUCAAGACAGGGUUUCUCUUUUGUAUAGCCCUGGCUGUCCUGGAACUCACUUUGUAGACCAGGCUGGCCUCGAACUCAGAAAUCCGCCUGUCUCUGCCCCCCAAGUGCUGGGAUUAAAGACGUGUGCCACCACCGCCC
RNAcentral lists this long non-coding RNA (1123 nucleotides) under Mus musculus (house mouse). RNAcentral's name for it is "long non-coding RNA chr5:76143972-76145095". Lineage: Eukaryota; Metazoa; Chordata; Mammalia; Rodentia; Muridae. The record is from RNAcentral.